RNA transcript from Xenia sp. Carnegie-2017, 1700 nucleotides. It is a transcript of the gene named methylglutaconyl-CoA hydratase, mitochondrial-like, with no coding region annotated. The transcript is spliced from 9 exons. The record is from RefSeq and is a predicted model, not a curated record. NCBI's taxonomy places the organism in Eukaryota, Metazoa, Cnidaria, Anthozoa, Malacalcyonacea, Xeniidae.
UGUUUUACAAAGGCUUAUGCACGGUUUCAACUUUUUUGAAGGGGAGUUGCAACAUCAUAAAAUUUGAAAAUUUUUGAUCCUCUAGACAACUGGACUCGGGAUGGUCUUAAUUAGAGAUGAAUGAGUUGGAGAAAUGUAUAAUCCAAGAUGGCCGCCCGUGUGUUUUCUGUUUGUAAACGUAUAGUAAGGUGCUCUUUAUUUCGUGAGAGAGACGCUCGCUUGAUCUUUAAUAAAGUGCGAAGUUUGUCUUCGAGUGAAGAGGAAUACAAUUUCCAAACGCUCACUGGCGAUUUAGAAGGUAUUGCCGUAUUUUCUAUGAACAAAGCGAGCAGCAGGAAUGCCAUAAGCAGAGAUUUCUUAAUUCAGCUUCAAAAUGCCAUGGAUGCAGUGAAGUAUGACAAAAGUCUUCGAGUAUUUAUUGUAAAAAGUGAUGUGCCAGGAACAUUUUGUGCUGGUGCUGAUCUUAAAGAGAGAGCAAAAAUGAAAAUGGAAGAUGUUGGUCGAUUUGUUACCAUGGCAAGAAAUUUGGUGACAGAGUUGUAUCAUUUACCAGUGCCAACCAUUGCAGCAAUUGAUGGUGUUGCACUUGGUGGUGGGCUUGAGUUUGCUUUGGCUUGUGAUUUGAGAAUUGCAGGUUGUUCAUCAAAAUUGGGUCUGGUUGAAACAAGACUGGCUAUCAUUCCCGGUGCUGGUGGGACUCAACAUCUUCCGAGACUUGUCGGAAUGUCCAAGGCUAAAGAGUUAAUAUUUACUGCUAAAAUUCUAAAUGGGGAAGAAUCAGAAAAGAUUGGAUUGGUAAACUACGUAGUGGAAGACAAUAAAGUUUAUGACAAAGCUGUGGAAAUUGCAUCGACAAUAUUACCCCAAGGUCCUAUUGCCUUAACAAUGGCGAAGAAUGCAAUGAACAGAGGAACGGAGGUUGACCUUACAUCUGGAUUACAAUUUGAAGAAGCAUUGUAUGCUCAGGUUAUUCCAACAAAAGAUAGACUCGAAGGAUUGCAAGCUUUCAAGGAAAAAAGAAAACCUGUUUACAAAGGGGAAUGAACAAACAAAGAAAUCCUUGAAGCAUCGUUACUUUGAAAGCCUACGAAAGAAACGUUGGACACAAGGAAGAUGAAAGACCAUUGAACUCUGAGGAAAAAGGCGAAACAGAUCUUCAUCUACAUACAACAGAGAUAAAAGGUUCUGGUUUGCAUCAACUAGCGUAAAAAUUAUUGAACAAAAAAGCCCUCUCACUUGGCAAUACUUCAGGGUCUUUCCAUGGAACCAUAAUCACUCUUUCCUCUUCGAUUCUAAUAAACAUAUGCAAUGAAAUUAUAAACACUUUGAUCGCCAUGUAUGAGUGAGAAACGUUUGCUGUACUUUGCAGUCUUUACUUCUAAAGGUUUUUUUGUCGAACUUUCUUGGCCUGAUCCAAUUGGGCUGACAUCAAUAUCAAAUGAAUUUGGAAAUUCGCUUAGAUCUCUGUAAAAUACAAGUGACUAUUUUUUAAACAAUGUGGAAAUCUUCAGAGUGCUUUUUCAAAGUAAGGAUAGUGCUAUGAAUGUGAACAAUCAUUUCAAAGGGUAAAAUUCUGAAAUUCAAACUACAUAAUCCAUAAAAUAAAACGCAAAUUCAAAAAUAACAAAGGCUUUUCCGAAGAAAGUAAAAUCAUGUUUUGUAUAUAUUUAUCAAAAGGGCAACAAAAUCUGAGCUUCAUA